GGGGGAGACAUGGGGUAGUUAAUGGGUCCUAAAAAACCAGAAAGAAUGAAUAAGACCUAGUAUUUGCUAGCACAACAACGUGACUAUAGUCAAUAAUAAUUUAAUUGUACAUUUAAAAAUAACUCAGAGUAUAAUUGGAUUGUUUGUAACACAAAGGCUAAAUGCUGGAGGGGAUGGAUACCCCAUUCUCUGUGAUGUGAUUAUUAUGCAUUGCAUGCCUGUACCAAAACAUCUCAUGUAUCCCAUACAUAUAUACACCUAUGUACCCACCAAAAUUAAAAAUUAAAAACAAACAGAGUGAGAUACCACCUCACACCCAUUAGCAUGGCUAUAAUCCAAAAGAGAGACAGUAAUAAAAUAUUGAUUAGGAUGUGGAGAAAUCAGGAGGGCUUUGAAUGGCUCUCCACAAUCUGACAACACAUGAUGAAGCAAAGAGGGAACGAUUUCAUUUUUGACGGCUGUCUCUGCUCAGAGGCUGUCUCUGAUGCAGGACUUUAUUCUGGCUGCUCAGGAAAUGGAUGGGACAGGAUGCUAAAUGGUGUUGAGUAGUUCCGAUUUUUUGCCAAGAGGCAAAUGAGAGAGAUGCCUUCCAAAACAGUACAUGAUAUUGCUCGGCUACUUUAAAUAUAAAUAUGGGCCAUGGAGUUAAGUACUGUUAGUUUAUCAUUAAGAAGAAAAAAAUCAGGGCCAGGCACGGUGGCUCACGCCUGUAAUCCCAGCACUUUGGGAGGCUGAGGCAGGCGGAUCACGAGGUCAGGAGUUUCAGACCAGCCUGGCCAACAUGGUGAAGCCCUGUCUCUACUAAAAUACAAAAAAAAUUAGCCAGGUGUGUUGGUGGGCGCUUGUAAUCGCAGCUACUUGGGAGGCUGAGGCAGGAGAAUUGCUUCAACCCGGGAGGCAGAGGUAGCAGUGAGUUGAGAUCGGGUCACUGCACUCCAGCCUGGGCGACAGAGCCAAAAAAAAAAAAAGAAGAAGAAGAAAAACAUCUUUGGGGAUGCUCACAUUAACUGAGUAAAGUUACAUGGUUACUGUCAUGCAAAACACAUAUGAAAUGCAGACACUUCCCGAAGUUGAAUUUUACGCUAUCUCUGCUGAUUUAGCUGUUCAGAAUUUUGGUGGAUUUCUUUUUUUUUUUUUUUUUUUUUUUUGGCUUCUGUAUUUUUAAGGCAAAGAUUCCAUGCCAGAUUAAUGAAUAAUCUUUCUAUGGAGGGACUCAAUCCAAACUGGGUUUACCAGAGUCUAUUUCUUUGAAGGAGCAAUCGUAAAAUGGCUCUAAAUUCAUUUGAAUUGGUCUUGGGUUGUAGUACUAUCAUACUUACUAUAAUCUCUUUGUACUUUAUCAUGGAGACAUACAAACGUUUGCACAAAUGACUCGGUAAGUAUUGUUUAUCAAAUGGCAGAGACUGUUUGUUAUCAAACCACAGAGAGAGAAAGAGCUUUUUUCCCUCCCUUUAGGUAUUAAAAACAAAAGCCCUCUGCUCUCGGUAGCAUUUGUUAAAAAAUAACUCACAUCCUACACAAAAACCUAACACAAAAUGGAUCAUAGACCUGAAUGUAACAGCUAAAAUUAUUAAAAUUAUAAAACCCUUAGAAGAAGAUGUAUGAGUAGAUCUUCAUGAACUUGAUCUAGCAAUGUUUUCUUAGAUAGAACACCAAAUGCAAAAUAAACUGGACUACAUUCAAACUUAAAACUUUUGUGCUACAAACAAUGCCAUCAAGAAAGUAUAAAGACAAUAUACAAAAUGGGAAAAAAACAUUUGAAAUCAUAUAUCUGACAAGAGUUGGUAUCCAGAAUAUUUAAAUAACUCCUGCAAUAUAAUAAUAAAAAGACAUAUAACCUAUUUAUAACUGGGAAAAAAAUCUGAGCCAACAUUUCUCCAAAGAAGAUAUAGACGUGACCAAUAAGCAAGCCCAUGAAGAGAUGCUCCACAUCAUUAGGCAUAAAGGAAAUGCCAGUCAAAACCACAGUGAGAUACCACUUCACACCCAUUAGCAUGGUUGUAAUAAAAAAGAGAGGCAAGAACGGGUAUUGACGAGGAUGUGGAGAAACUGGAACCUUCAUACACUGCUGGUGGAAUGUAAAAUAGGCCACAGCUUUGGAAAACAAUGUGUCAGUUCUUCAAAAGUUAAAUACUUACAGAGUUACCAUAUGCCCCAGCAGUUGCACUCUUAGGAAUGCCAAGAGAAAUUGAAACAUACAUCCACACAAAAGUGUGCACACAAGUGUUCAUAGCAGCAUAAUUUGUAUUAGCUGAAAAAUUGGAAACAACCCAAAUGUCCAUCAACUAAUAAAAAGAAAUGAAAUGUCAGCACAUAUUACAGUUUGGACUGAACUUUGAACACAUGAUGUUAAGUGAAAGAAGUCAGACACAAAAGACCUCAUUAAUGUAUCAUCCCAUUGAUAGGAAAUGUCCAGAAUAGGCAGCUUUAUAGAGAGAGAAAAAAGAAAGAAAGAAAGAAGAAAGGAAGGAAGAAGGAAGGAAGGAAGAAAGAAAGAGAGAGAAAAUAUUACUGAUACCUUUUCUGGUAAGAUCCAUGAACACCUGACCAAAAAA
Macaca fascicularis (crab-eating macaque) is the source of this 2555-nucleotide long non-coding RNA. NCBI's taxonomy places the organism in Eukaryota, Metazoa, Chordata, Mammalia, Primates, Cercopithecidae. The record is from Ensembl.